GGGGAAUAUUGCGCAAUGGGGGAAACCCCGACGCAGCAACGCCGCGUGAGCGAUGAAGGUCUUCGGAUUGUAAAGCUCUGUCUUUGGGGACGAUAAUGACGGUACCCAAGGAGGAAGCCACGGCUAACUACGUGCCAGCAGCCGCGGUAAUACGUAGGUGGCAAGCGUUGUCCGGAUUUACUGGGCGUAAAGAGUAUGUAGGCGGAUAUUUAAGUCAGAUGUGAAAUUCCCGGGCUUAACCUGGGCGCUGCAUUUGAUACUGGGUAUCUAGAGUGUGGGAGAGGAAAGUGGAAUUCCUAGUGUAGCGGUGAAAUGCGUAGAGAUUAGGAAGAACACCAGUGGCGAAGGCGGCUUUCUGGACCAUAACUGACGCUGAGAUACGAAAGCGUGGGGAGCAAAC
Molecule: ribosomal RNA, 400 nt
Filed under: uncultured bacterium
Lineage: Bacteria
Description: bacterial SSU rRNA
Rfam family: Bacterial small subunit ribosomal RNA
Source: RNAcentral